UACAGAGGGGGCAAGCGUUAUUCGGAAUUAUUGGGCGUAAAGGGCGCGUAGGCGGCGAUUCAAGUGACGGGUGAAAUCCCUCGGCUUAACCGAGGAACUGCCUGUCAGACUGGAUUGCUUGAGUCCGGGAGAGGCGAGUGGAAUUCCCAGUGUAGCGGUGAAAUGCGUAGAUAUUGGGAGGAACACCAGUGGCGAAGGCGGCUCGCUGGACCGGUAUUGACGCUGAGGCGCGAAAGCUAGGGGAGCAAACGGG
Molecule: ribosomal RNA, 253 nt
Filed under: uncultured bacterium
Lineage: Bacteria
Description: partial 16S ribosomal RNA
Rfam family: Bacterial small subunit ribosomal RNA
Source: RNAcentral